This is a long non-coding RNA of Bombus pyrosoma, 754 nucleotides long. RefSeq lists it as uncharacterized. NCBI's taxonomy places the organism in Eukaryota, Metazoa, Arthropoda, Insecta, Hymenoptera, Apidae. The transcript has 3 exons. The record is from RefSeq and is a predicted model, not a curated record.
GUCGAGAGAAAAUGAAAAAUUCGAACUUCAUUUGUACACUCAUUCACAGUAUUCACACGCAUCGCUCCCAGCUUAAGAAACCCAUCAUCCACCUGUAUAAUUUCUCCUGUAGAAACGUAAUACAUAAUUCAAGACUUCAAAGGACCACGAUAUCGUACAUCUAGAAUCUGGAUCCUUCUUCCUUGGAUCUUCUCCUUAGCACCGUUGUUCCGCAUUGCUGAUUUAGCAGUAACAAGACAAGAGACUCUAAGAAGAAAACGCUAACUAAUAGAUAUUUGAACACGAGUUCAGCUGAAAUUUUUUUCAACGAUUUGUCGUUUGGCCUAUUUGAGAAUCCCUAUACAAGGCCGGCCGGUCUUGACCUAAUGAGAAUAAGCUUAAAUCGUUUGGGACAGCUGCCAGCUGAAAAAUCGCUACACCAGCCUGUCUAUUGCCAAUUCUGAUCUAUUAUCGUGACGACUACUAGGUCUCGUCGAAUAAAAAUUGCCGCUGUCCUGGGAUUUGUCGCGCUAUCAGCUGAAAUCUAGGCGAAGAGACAUGGAAUUAUGUAUAGUAUGAUAGCAAACGUAUUUCUGCAAGGAUUUUUUGACGCAAUGCGGAGUGGAAUUAAAUUUGGAAGAAAGUGAUAAAUGAGUCGAAUGAUAGGAGAAUCAAGGAACAAUGUCAAUUUCAUUUAAAGAGAUCCCAUAAACGAACGGAUCCAAUUUCGGACCAAUUAUCAAUCGACGAUUAACCUUCUUAACGAGUCCUUCCC